Molecule: ribosomal RNA, 497 nt
Filed under: uncultured bacterium
Lineage: Bacteria
Description: partial 16S ribosomal RNA
Rfam family: Bacterial small subunit ribosomal RNA
Source: RNAcentral
GAUGAACGCUGGCGGCGUGCCUAAUACAUGCAAGUCGAGCGAACAGACGAGGAGCUUGCUCCUCUGACGUUAGCGGCGGACGGGUGAGUAACACGUGGAUAACCUACCUAUAAGACUGGGAUAACUUCGGGAAACCGGAGCUAAUACCGGAUAAUAUAUUGAACCGCAUGGUUCAAUAGUGAAAGACGGUUUUGCUGUCACUUAUAGAUGGAUCCGCGCCGCAUUAGCUAGUUGGUAAGGUAACGGCUUACCAAGGCAACGAUGCGUAGCCGACCUGAGAGGGUGGCAGACGGAAGGAGAGAGGCGACCGGGAUGGGAGAAGGGCGGAAGGAAGUAGUCGGGUAUAUUAAGGAAGGGCUGGAAUUCGGAAGGAGCAGUGCGGAGGGAGAGAAAAAGGUCUUGGGGUAGUAAAGCUCUGUGGUUAGAGAAAAACAAGUACCGAAGUAAAUGGAGUUACCGGGACGGUACUUAACGAGAAAGACAAGGAGAACUAGGUG